CCCUUAAGAUGACGAAGUUGUUGAGUGUUCACCAGAUUGCCUUGAUUCAAGUUUAGAGACAGUACACCGAAGUGGGUCUGUAGCCAGUGGUAGAGCGCACCCCUAUAAGGGUGAGGUCGGUGGUUCGAGUCCACUCAGACCACCACUUGGUCCCGAUUAUGGGGCUAUAGCUCAGCUGGGAGAGCGCCUGCUUUGCACGCAGGAGGUCUGCGGUUCGAUCCCGCAUAGCUCCACCAUAAUCGAUACUGAAUUUUGCGAGAAGCAAAAGCCAUGCGUUGAACGAUAUUCAAUCUAUGUCUUUGACUUCUUUAUGAAGUUUGCUCUUUAACAAUCUGGAAAGCUGAUUUAAAAAGUAGUUCUCAAACAUUUGUUACAAGUGCUUUGGAAACUUCUUGGCGAAAACCAAAUUUUAUUUGGUCCUUGUUGUACAGCAACAAGCUGUGCCGGUUUCACCGACACUUCUUGGG
RNAcentral lists this unclassified non-coding RNA (467 nucleotides) under Aeromonas veronii. RNAcentral describes it as "16S-23S ribosomal RNA intergenic spacer". The stretch from base 161 to 233 matches the Rfam family "tRNA". The record is from RNAcentral. Lineage: Bacteria; Pseudomonadati; Pseudomonadota; Gammaproteobacteria; Aeromonadales; Aeromonadaceae.